CUUCAACAAAACAUGUGACUCCACCUGUUGUUCUGGAGGUGAAUCGCUCUGCAACACACGCAGGACUUUACAACCAGGAAGUGAAACCAGUGCGUCAACACGCAGACGCAGAAACACGCGGCGGCCUUCAGCCUCAGCAGGAGGCAGAUGGUCUCUUUUCUGUGAUUUAUUGAAAAGUAUCAGACAAUUCAAUUAGAUAGAACAAAGCUAUGAUCAGCCCUGAGAGGUCUAUAAAGGAACAUGUCUGACCCUUUAGGGUUCUCCAAGGGUCUUCAGAGCUCCACCACAUCCAUGGUGGCCCAUUCAGGUCCUGGAGGAAACCCUGGGAAUAUGAGGGUUCUCUGUAGAACCUCCUGGGUCCUACUAAGCCUCUCAUGACCUUAAAAUCAUCACAAUUCAUCCUGAUAUUAAAGAAACAGUUAAUAGUAAUUUGCCAUCAUGUUGUGCUUGUGUGGUUUGUAAAGUCCCUGUGGAGAGCCCGUCGCCCCCCCAGCUCGCUGACCUCUAUAACAGCGCUGCAGGCCGUAAAAUCGCCUCAACCAUUAAACAGCGGCACAACUCGGACCCCCCCCUGAAAAACACCCUGCCGCUAAAAUUAGCCUGCACAUCGACCGGCAUCGAUCCGGCAGCCCUACUUCUGCAGCGCCGCUCUGCUACCGGUUCAUGGUGUGACCCGAGGAGACGACCAGGAAACAACAAUACUACUUUUCUUUAGCGUAGGAAAGGCGCUUCAGUGUUUCCUUUACUAGCGCCUUUAGCGUAGAAAAGGCGCUUCAGCGUUUCCUUUACUAGCUCCUUUAGCGUAGGAAAGGUGCUUCAGUGCUUCCUUUACUAGCCCCUUUAGCAUAGAAAAGGCGCUUGUGUUUCCUUUACUAGCUCCUUUAGCGUAGGAAAGGUGCUUCAGUGUUUCCUUUACUAGCUCCUUUAGCGUAGGAAAGGCGCUUCAGCGUUUCCUUUACUAGCUCCUUUAGCGUAGGAAAGGUGCUUCAGUGCUUCCUUUACUAGCUCCUUUAGCGUAGGAAAGGUGCUUCAGUGUUUCCUUUACUAGCUCCUUUAGCGUAGGAAAGGUGCUUCAGUGUUUCCUUUACUAGCUCCUUUAGCGUAGGAAAGGUGCUUCAGUGCUUCCUUUACUAGCCCCUUUAGCAUAGGAAAGGUGCUUCAGUGCUUCCUUUACUAGCGCCUUUAGCAUAGAAAAGGCGCUUGUGUUUCCUUUACUAGCUCCUUUAGCGUAGGAAAGGUGCUUCAGUGUUUCCUUUACUAGCUCCUUCAGCGUAGGAAAGGUGCUUCAGUGUUUCCUUUACUAGCUCCUUUAGCGUAGGAAAGGUGCUUCAGUGCUUACUUUACUACCCCCUUUAGCAUAGAAAAGGCGCUUGUGUUUCCUUUACUAGCUCCUUUAGCAUAGGAAAGGUGCUUCAGUGUUUCCUUUACUACCCCCUUUAGCAUAGAAAAGGCGCUUGUGUUUCCUUUACUAGCUCCUUUAGCAUAGGAAAGGUGCUUCAGUGUUUCCUUUACUAACUCCUUUAGCAUAGGAAAGGUUCUUCAGUGUUUCCUUUACUAACUCCUUUAGCAUAGGAAAGGUUCUUCAGUGUUUCCUUUACUAACUCCCUUAGCAUAGAAAAGGUGCUUCAGUGUUUCCUUUACUAGCUCCUUUAGCGUAGGAAAGGUGCUUCAGUGUUUCCUUUACUAGCUCCUUUAGCGUAGGAAAGGUGCUUCAGUGUUUCCUUUACUAGCUCCUUUAGCGUAGGAAAGGUGCU
Molecule: long non-coding RNA, 1754 nt
Organism: Gasterosteus aculeatus aculeatus (three-spined stickleback)
Lineage: Eukaryota; Metazoa; Chordata; Actinopteri; Perciformes; Gasterosteidae
Source: Ensembl